RNAcentral lists this long non-coding RNA (852 nucleotides) under Homo sapiens (human). RNAcentral's name for it is "HSALNT0369965". Lineage: Eukaryota; Metazoa; Chordata; Mammalia; Primates; Hominidae. The record is from RNAcentral.
GGUUGGAGGCGCAGCGGCCCCGCGAGCAGACGCGCAGGUGAGCGGACCCGCGCUGGGGUGCGGGGCAGGUGCGCGGCCCUGGGGGACAAGGAGGGGGAGAGGGGCGAGGGCUAACCACGUCGGCCCCAAACUAGCUGCCUGUCUUUAAAUGUUUGCUUUCAUAUUUGGAAGUGCUGAGCGGGCACUUCAGUGCGACCUGGAUAUCACCUGUGGGUUUCAGGGCAGUCAUCCUUGAGACCUCUUGUUCCUCGGGAGACCUCUUGGCCUCUUUAAGGAGCCAGGGGUCGGCGGCGCACUUAGGGGAGAAGGAGCAGGAGAACUUGAGUUAAGAAUUGCCCCCCGGAUUGGAACCAGAGGUAGCGGGAAGCCAGCAAGGGCGAGGCUCUUUCUAGGAACUCUAGGUCCACCGCUUGCCUUUGGGGAAGAGGGAGGAAGGGGCCUUGGGGCGUGAAGUUGCCUUUGGGACAUCAGCCAGAGCCUGCGACGCAAGCGCGGCCCAAAUGACUGGGAAGCCGGAACCUUCGCUCCUUCGUUCCGAACCUUCUUUGUUCCAGUCCCGCCUGGCAGCGCAGGCCGUGCACUCCCCGCGCUUCCGGGAACCUGUUUGCUUAAGAUAAUCGCAUCCCACUGAUAUUUGGGUUAUUCUCCUUCAUGCCGAAGUAAUUAGACUCUCCACCGGUGUGGCACCCUUACUUAAUUCUUCUAAUUUCUUUAAAAACACAACAUUCGCCCACAUCCAAGGCAAAAUUUACAAUCAAGAAGAUCCCUUCUUUCUUUAAAAGUGGCGGCUUUGUUCUGCUUUUAACAUCAAGUAAAAUCUACUUUGGGGAAGGUUUUUCGCUCCCCCCACCC